RNAcentral lists this non-coding RNA (108 nucleotides) under pig gut metagenome. RNAcentral's name for it is "SAM riboswitch (S box leader)". It matches the Rfam family "SAM riboswitch aptamer (S box leader)". From Rfam's summary of the family: The SAM riboswitch is found upstream of a number of genes which code for proteins involved in methionine or cysteine biosynthesis in Gram-positive bacteria. The SAM riboswitch acts at the level of transcription termination control. The record is from RNAcentral.
CUUAUCAAGAGUGGCGGAGGGAACAGGCCCUGUGAAGCCCGGCAACCUGUCGGCCGUGAAGAACGGCUGAGAAGGUGCCAAAUCCUGCGGGAGUACCGAGAGAUGAGG